CAACGUUCACCUCACAUUUGUGAGGCGCAGACAACCCAGGCCAAGGAACGGGGACCUGGA
Non-coding RNA from Synechococcus sp. BL107, 60 nucleotides. NCBI's taxonomy places the organism in Bacteria, Bacillati, Cyanobacteriota, Cyanophyceae, Synechococcales, Synechococcaceae. The record is from Rfam.